UUUAAUUGAAGAGUUUGAUCAUGGCUCAGAUUGAACGCUGGCGGCAGGCCUAACACAUGCAAGUCGAGCGGUAACAGAGAUAGCUUGCUAUCUGCUGACGAGCGGCGGACGGGUGAGUAAUGCUUG
RNAcentral lists this ribosomal RNA (126 nucleotides) under Pseudoalteromonas sp. MSK9-3. Its description in RNAcentral is "partial 16S ribosomal RNA". It matches the Rfam family "Bacterial small subunit ribosomal RNA", at positions 1 to 119 of the family's 1533-position model. The record is from RNAcentral. Lineage: Bacteria; Pseudomonadati; Pseudomonadota; Gammaproteobacteria; Alteromonadales; Pseudoalteromonadaceae.